UAACACAUGCAAGUCGAGCGAAUCAAUGGGAGCUUGCUCCCCAUGGUUAAACGGCGGACGGGCGAGUAACACGUGGGCAACCUGCCUGUAAGACUGGGAUAACUUCGGGAAACCGGAGCUAAUACCGGAUAAUCCUUUUCCUCACAUGAGGAAAAGCUGAAAGUCGGUUUCGGCUGACACUUACAGAUGGGCCCGCGGCGCAUUAGCUAGUUGGUGAGGUAACGGCUCACCAAGGCGACGAUGCGUAGCCGACCUGAGAGGGUGAUCGGCCACACUGGGACUGAGACACGGCCCAGACUCCUACAGGAGGCAGCAGUAGGGAAUCUUCCGCAAUGGACGAAAGUCUGACGGAGCAACGCCGCGUGAGCGAAGAAGGCCUCCGGGUCGUAAAGCUCUGUUG
This 400-nucleotide ribosomal RNA is filed under the name uncultured bacterium. RNAcentral's name for it is "bacterial SSU rRNA". It matches the Rfam family "Bacterial small subunit ribosomal RNA", at positions 49 to 438 of the family's 1533-position model. The record is from RNAcentral.